Molecule: ribosomal RNA, 645 nt
Filed under: Liotiidae sp. SW-2012-2
Lineage: Eukaryota; Metazoa; Mollusca; Gastropoda; Trochida; Liotiidae
Description: partial 12S ribosomal RNA
Source: RNAcentral
AACAAACAGAUCAAGUCAAUAUUUGUGCAGUAAAAAAGAGGGUUAGGGAGAAUGAGUUUAAAGAAAAGUUAUGGUUUUUUUAGGGGUAAAAUCUUUAUAAAAAAGUUAAUUUAUAAUCUUCUUUAUCUUGAAGCCCUGAAAUCUUAGUGUGAGACCGGGAUUAGGUACCCCGUUAUUUAAGAUGUAAAAUAUAAUCUAAUGAUUUACUGGGGUACUACGAGAGAUAAAAAUUUAAGUUUUUAUUAUAUUCUUAAAACCCAAAAGACUUGGCGGUGCCUCAAUCCUUUCAGGGGAAUCUGUCCUGUAAUCGAUAAUCCACGUUUUACCUUACCUAUUCUUGAAUUUUUAAAAAAUAAGCAGCCUGUAUACCGUCGCCGGUCAGGUUACCUUAGAGAGGAAAGUAACCUAGAAAAUAAUUAAUAUUUUGGUUUAUUUAUUUAAUGAUUAUUAAUCAAUUAAAUGUUUUGAGCUUAGAAAUUAAUUGUUCUCACGACAGAUCAAGGUGCAGCUAAUGAGUAGGUUAGAGAUGGAUUACAAUAAUGAUUUAUUAAUACGGAUUUGUUUUUGAAAUAAAAUCAAUGAAGGUGGACUUGAAAGUAAUGGAGUAGAGUAGAGAGCUUUAGUGAAAUUGGCUCUGAGGUGUGU